This is a non-coding RNA of Pelobates cultripes (western spadefoot toad), 482 nucleotides long. Lineage: Eukaryota; Metazoa; Chordata; Amphibia; Anura; Pelobatidae. The record is from the annotation of a GenBank genome assembly.
GGAUGGUGGUGGUGUAUUGAAGUGGGAUCAUUUACUUGGUAGAUAUUGAGUUCUUUAAUAAUAUAUGAGCAUUGCUUGUAUGCCAUAGCCCAGCUAAGGCCAUGUGCAUCCCUCUACAGCCAGAGCCCACCCAUCUUCUAAUGACUACUUCCAGCAGGUCAAUGUGCCACAUCAUCUCCAGCUAGUACCAUGAAAUAAGUAAUGAGUUCAGUGUACUCCAAUGGCCUCUACAAUCACCGGAUCCAAUUCAGUAGAACGCCUUUGGGAUGUGGUGGCAGGGGAGACUUGCAGCAACUGCACCUAGUAAGGAGUGCGAACUGAUGUCGCUCUGCGUGCAUAGAGAAUGGUAGAACACCAAAUAAUAAUAUCUUUUGGACUCCACAGAGGCUGUUGCAACUUUGUGAACCCGGAAUACUGAGUCAAUACCUAUUAGGGAACUACCCCAACAUCCAAGCAAGAAGCAACAGAUACUUUACCAAGAC